RNAcentral lists this ribosomal RNA (254 nucleotides) under uncultured bacterium. RNAcentral describes it as "partial 16S ribosomal RNA". It matches the Rfam family "Bacterial small subunit ribosomal RNA", at positions 524 to 776 of the family's 1533-position model. The record is from RNAcentral.
UACGUAGGGUGCGAGCGUUAAUCGGAAUUACUGGGCGUAAAGCGUGCGCAGGCGGUCUGUUAAGACCGAUGUGAAAUCCCCGGGCUUAACCUGGGAACUGCAUUGGUGACUGGCAGGCUUUGAGUGUGGCAGAGGGAGGUAGAAUUCCACGUGUAGCAGUGAAAUGCGUAGAUAUCUGGAGGAACACCGGUGGCGAAGGCGGCAUCCUGGACCGGCAUUGACGCUGAGGCGCGAAAGCCAGGGGAGCAAACGGG